GAUGAACGCUGGCGGCGUGCCUAAUACAUGCAAGUCGAGCGAACGGACGAGAAGCUUGCUUCUCUGAUGUUAGCGGCGGACGGGUGAGUAACACGUGGAUAACCUACCUAUAAGACUGGGAUAACUUCGGGAAACCGGAGCUAAUACCGGAUAAUAUUUUGAACCGCAUGGUUCAAAAGUGAAAGACGGUCUUGCUGUCACUUAUAGAUGGAUCCGCGCUGCAUUAGCUAGUUGGUAAGGUAACGGCUUACCAAGGCAACGAUGCAUAGCCGACCUGAGAGGGUGAUCGGCCACACUGGAACUGAGACACGGUCCAGACUCCUACGGGAGGCAGCAGUAGGGAAUCUUCCGCAAUGGGCGAAAGCCUGACGGAGCAACGCCGCGUGAGUGAUGAAGGUCUUCGGAUCGUAAAACUCUGUUAUUAGGGAAGAACAUAUGUGUAAGUAACUGUGCACAUCUUGACGGUACCUAAUCAGAAAGCCACGGCUAACUACGUGCCAGCAGCCGCGGUAAUACGUAGGUGGCAAGCGUUAUCCGGAAUUAUUGGGCGUAAAAGCGCGCGUAGGCGGUUUUUUAAGUCUGAUGUGAAAGCCCACGGCUCAACCGUGGAGGGUCAUUGGAAACUGGAAAACUUGAGUGCAGAAGAGGAAAGUGGAAUUCCAUGUGUAGCGGUGAAAUGCGCAGAGAUAUGGAGGAACACCAGUGGCGAAGGCGACUUUCUGGUCUGUAACUGACGCUGAUGUGCGAAAGCGUGGGGAUCAAACAGGAUUAGAUACCCUGGUAGUCCACGCCGUAAACGAUGAGUGCUAAGUGUUAGGGGGUUUCCGCCCCUUAGUGCUGCAGCUAACGCAUUAAGCACUCCGCCUGGGGAGUACGACCGCAAGGUUGAAACUCAAAGGAAUUGACGGGGACCCGCACAAGCGGUGGAGCAUGUGGUUUAAUUCGAAGCAACGCGAAGAACCUUACCAAAUCUUGACAUCCUUUGACAACUCUAGAGAUAGAGCUUUCCCCUUCGGGGGACAAAGUGACAGGUGGUGCAUGGUUGUCGUCAGCUCGUGUCGUGAGAUGUUGGGUUAAGUCCCGCAACGAGCGCAACCCUUAAGCUUAGUUGCCAUCAUUAAGUUGGGCACUCUAAGUUGACUGCCGGUGACAAACCGGAGGAAGGUGGGGAUGACGUCAAAUCAUCAUGCCCCUUAUGAUUUGGGCUACACACGUGCUACAAUGGACAAUACAAAGGGCAGCGAAACCGCGAGGUCAAGCAAAUCCCAUAAAGUUGUUCUCAGUUCGGAUUGUAGUCUGCAACUCGACUACAUGAAGCUGGAAUCGCUAGUAAUCGUAGAUCAGCAUGCUACGGUGAAUACGUUCCCGGGUCU
This 1373-nucleotide ribosomal RNA is filed under the name uncultured bacterium. RNAcentral describes it as "bacterial SSU rRNA". It matches the Rfam family "Bacterial small subunit ribosomal RNA", at positions 28 to 1381 of the family's 1533-position model. The record is from RNAcentral.